Non-coding RNA from Odocoileus virginianus texanus, 228 nucleotides. The record is from RefSeq and is a predicted model, not a curated record. Lineage: Eukaryota; Metazoa; Chordata; Mammalia; Artiodactyla; Cervidae.
GGAAGAGAUUUCUUGGAAGAAUGACAUGGCCGUUGAGACUUCAGGAUAUAUAGGUAUUGCGAGCCAGGUCAUCACUGUGAAUGGAUGUAUAGCUAUGAUUAUGCAGAUAAAGAAUAAUGGCAUGUUGAAAUAUAUCUUCACUAAGGACAUGAAACAGACCACAGGUGUGAGACAUAACAGUCUUGGUUGCCGAUACCUGAUGGGCCAGCUCGUGAGCGAUGAUUUUAG